GUCGUGAAUCCCGCCGUGGCCCAGAGCUCACUGCCCUCGACCGACACACUUUAGAAUUAAACAUGUCCGUACCUGCUCCUCUUCCUUCUCCAUCCCGGUCGGCAUCUGCGGGACGGCCCGACUGAUAGACACGCAGUCGACCAACAAUCCCAGCUGAGUCUCGUGGAACAGAACGUGAACUUCCAGCUCGACUUUCUGGUAGUUUUCAGACCAGGUUGUUACUUCAGCUGGAAAGUCGACAUCUCGGGUGUGAUGCAUCAGCACGAGAAUGACGGGUUUAUCACCUGGCGAGAGAAACACGGGACAAAGUUUAGCCUGAUCGGUUCAGUCAUUCUGUGCCUUCACUUAUUGUUUCCUUUUUUGUGAGGCUGGUCAUUCUAAUAAAGUUGUCCUCUGCAGCA
Long non-coding RNA from Scatophagus argus, 401 nucleotides. RefSeq lists it as uncharacterized. The record is from RefSeq and is a predicted model, not a curated record. NCBI's taxonomy places the organism in Eukaryota, Metazoa, Chordata, Actinopteri, Scatophagidae. The transcript has 2 exons.